Molecule: non-coding RNA, 47 nt
Filed under: Reticulomyxa filosa
Lineage: Eukaryota; Foraminifera; Reticulomyxidae
Description: Eukaryotic small subunit ribosomal RNA
Rfam family: Eukaryotic small subunit ribosomal RNA
Source: Rfam by way of RNAcentral
GAAGUCGUAACAAGGUUUCCGUAGGUGAACCUGCGGAAGGAUCAUUU